RNAcentral lists this ribosomal RNA (484 nucleotides) under uncultured bacterium. Its description in RNAcentral is "partial 16S ribosomal RNA". It matches the Rfam family "Bacterial small subunit ribosomal RNA", at positions 30 to 507 of the family's 1533-position model. The record is from RNAcentral.
AUUGAACGCUGGCGGCAGGCCUAACACAUGCAAGUCGAGCGGAUGAAGGGAGCUUGCUCCUGGAUUCAGCGGCGGACGGGUGAGUAAUGCCUAGGAAUCUGCCUGGUAGUGGGGGAUAACGUCCGGAAACGGGCGCUAAUACCGCAUACGUCCUGAGGGUGAAAGGGGGGGAUCUUCGGACCUCACGCUAUCAGAUGAGCCUAGGUCGGAUUAGCUAGUUGGUGGGGUAAAGGCCUACCAAGGCGACGAUCCGUAACUGGCCUGAGAGGAUGAUCAGUCACACUGGAACUGAGACACGGUCCAGACUCCUACGGGAGGCAGCAGUGGGGAAUAUUGGACAAUGGGCGAAAGCCUGAUCCAGCCAUGCCGCGUGUGUGAAGAAGGUCUUCGGAUUGUAAAGCACUUUAAGUUGGGAGGAAGGGCAGUAAGUUAAUACCUUGCUGUUUUGACGUUACCAACAGAAUAAGCACCGGCUAACUUCGUG